Molecule: ribosomal RNA, 253 nt
Filed under: uncultured bacterium
Lineage: Bacteria
Description: partial 16S ribosomal RNA
Rfam family: Bacterial small subunit ribosomal RNA
Source: RNAcentral
UACGGGGGGAGCGAGCGUUGUUCGGAAUCACUGGGCGUAAAGGGCGCGUAGGCGGCUGGGUAAGUCAGCGGUGAAAUCCCAAGGCUCAACCUUGGAAUUGCCUUUGAUACUGCCUGGCUAGAGGGUGGAAGAGGAUAGUGGAAUUCCUGGUGUAGCGGUGAAAUGCGUAGAUAUCAGGAAGAACACCGGUGGCGAAGGCGGCUAUCUGGUCCACUACUGACGCUGAGGCGCGAAAGCCAGGGGAGCAAACGGG